Molecule: unclassified non-coding RNA, 240 nt
Filed under: soil metagenome
Description: partial contains 5.8S ribosomal RNA, internal transcribed spacer 2, and large subunit ribosomal RNA
Source: RNAcentral
AAGACUAUAGACCUGCGGAGUACCUGCGGAGGGAUCAUUAUCGAAUCUUCAAAGUCGGCCCAUCCGGUGCUGGUGGUCACACAUGUGCACGUCUGGGUCGCAAAUCCACACACCUGUGCAUACAUGACUCUGAGUGGCCUUCCCCCUUGUUUGGGGAGUCUGAUUUUGGUCAGAUCGGUACUCGAGUAUCUUUCACACACCCUUGAAAAGUAAUGGAAUGUAUAUCAUGCAUACUAUGCA